UACAGAGGUCCCGAGCGUUGUUCGGAUUCAUUGGGCGUAAAGGAUGCGUAGAUGGUUCAGUAAGUUACUGGUGGGAAAUCGAGGCCCAACCUCGUGGAAGUUAGUAAUACUGUUGAACUUGAGUGCAGGAGAGGUUAACGGAACUUCAUGUGGAGCGGUAAAAUGCGUAGAUAUAUGAAAGAACAUCAAUAUAGCGAAGGCAGUUAACUAUUCUGCUACUGACAUUGAGGCAUGAAAGCGUGGGGAGCAAAACGG
This 255-nucleotide ribosomal RNA is filed under the name uncultured bacterium. RNAcentral's name for it is "partial 16S ribosomal RNA". It matches the Rfam family "Bacterial small subunit ribosomal RNA", at positions 524 to 776 of the family's 1533-position model. The record is from RNAcentral.